This 262-nucleotide unclassified non-coding RNA is filed under the name Hevea brasiliensis (rubber tree). Lineage: Eukaryota; Viridiplantae; Streptophyta; Magnoliopsida; Malpighiales; Euphorbiaceae. The record is from RNAcentral.
UUAUUGAUAAUUCUCCACAGGUUUUCAGGCUGCAAGUAAAUAAUGGAAUUCCUAUUAAGAGUUGGUUUAGCGAUCCAUCAGAUUGUGCUCUAAUUUCGUUACUUCCCUUACUAGAGACCCUGGUUGAUGCUGAUGAUGUCCGCCCUAUCAUUGCAAAGAGAUUCGGUAACAAGGAAUAAGAGUCCCUCUUUCCUUUUUGAAUAUAGCUCCUUCUUUCUCCAAUUUAUUUUUUUAAAAGCAAAUUUGUCUCUAAUUUAGGUGG